RNAcentral lists this ribosomal RNA (497 nucleotides) under uncultured bacterium. RNAcentral's name for it is "partial 16S ribosomal RNA". It matches the Rfam family "Bacterial small subunit ribosomal RNA", at positions 28 to 507 of the family's 1533-position model. The record is from RNAcentral.
GAUGAACGCUGGCGGCGUGCCUAAUACAUGCAAGUCGAGCGAACAGACGAGGAGCUUGCUCCUCUGACGUUAGCGGCGGACGGGUGAGUAACACGUGGAUAACCUACCUAUAAGACUGGGAUAACUUCGGGAAACCGGAGCUAAUACCGGAUAAUAUAUUGAACCGCAUGGUUCAAUAGUGAAAGACGGUUUUGCUGUCACUUAUAGAUGGAUCCGCGCCGCAUUAGCUAGUUGGUAAGGUAACGGCUUACCAAGGCAACGAUGCGUAGCCGACCUGAGAGGGUGAUCGGCCACACUGGAACUGAAACACGGUCCAGACUCCUACGGGAGGCAGCAGUAGGGAAUCUUCCGCAAUGGGCGAAAGCCUGACGGAGCAACGCCGCGUGAGUGAUGAAGGUCUUCGGAUCGUAAAACUCUGUUAUUAGGGAAGAACAAAUGUGUAAGUAACUAUGCACGUCUUGACGGUACCUAAUCAGAAAGCCACGGCUAACUACGUG